Molecule: unclassified non-coding RNA, 1764 nt
Filed under: uncultured fungus
Lineage: Eukaryota; Fungi
Description: sequence contains 18S rRNA gene, ITS1, 5.8S rRNA gene, ITS2, 28S rRNA gene
Rfam family: Eukaryotic large subunit ribosomal RNA (bases 709-1764)
Source: RNAcentral
GGAAGGAUCAUUAACAAAUCUUAGUGUUGGUGGGGGUGUGUGUAUGUGUGUGGGGGGAUUCCCUCCGCAUCGCCGCAUCCCAUCAAUAUAUCGACCCGAACCCGUGCAGCAAUGCCGGGCGAGGUAUACGCACUCUGAGGCCUUUGCGGGUCGCAGGGUGCGUCAGUGGAACUGAAGCGUGUCGCAAGACAUGCCCAGCUUAGGCGUGUCGCAAGACAUGUCGCCCACACAUGGACGCUUGAUAUGUUUGACAGAUAAGUAUCAUCAAAAAAUGACAACUUUUAACAAUGGAUCUCUUGGCUCUUGCAACGAUGAAGAACGCAGUGAAAUGCGAAACGUAAUGCGAUUUGCACGAAUCUGUGAGUCAUCAAGUCUUUGAACGCACCUUGCACCAUAUGAGCAAUUGUAUGGUAUACCUGUUUGAGAAUCGUAAACCUCAUCGCUUACUUUGUGAGUGGAAGUGUCGGCUUACACGGUGUGUAUCCGAUUAAAUACAGUAGGUUCAACACAGGCUGGUGGCCUGGGACACUGUGUGCUAGAGACUAGCAAGUCGUCAAGACUUGCCCGUCUUCUCACGGUGCGUCCCGGGUCAUUCAAGCUGGCCUGCAGAGGACCUUUAACUGCGCACGGCGUCGUGGUGUGAUGUGUGAGCUGCGUCAAAACAGCUCUCAUCUCCACCCCACGAUAUGCUGUGGCAACCUUUCUCUUUGAUCUCAAAUCAGGUAAGGCUACCCGCUGAACUUAAGCAUAUCAGUAAGCGGAGGAAAAGAAACUAACAAGGAUUCCCCUAGUAACGGCGAGCGAAGCGGGAAGAGUUCAAAUUUAAAAUCUGGGUGGGUCUCCCACUCCGAAUUGUAAUUUAAAGAGGCGCUAUCUGGGCCUAGUCUGGUGCUCAAGUCCCUUGGAAUAGGGCGUCACAGAGGGUGAGAACCCCGUCUGGGCACUGGUGCUAGGUCCUCUAUGAGGCGCUUUCUACGAGUCGAGUUGUUUGGGAAUGCAGCUCAAAAUGGGUGGUAAAUUUCAUCUAAGACUAAAUACUGGCAAGAGACCGAUAGCGAACAAGUACCGUGAGGGAAAGAUGAAAAGCACCUUGAAAAGGGAGUUAAAUAGUGCGUGAAAUUGUUAAAAGGGAAACGAUUGAGACCAGUAUUGCUGCUGGCCGUUCAGCGCCGCACCUUCGGGGACGGCGUGCACUCGGUCGGGGGCGAGUCAGCGUCAGUUUGGGCUCUCGGAAAGAGGUCGGAGGAAGAUGGGACUGGCCUUCGGGUCCGUCUUUUAUAGACUCUGGCUGGCACGAGGAGCCUGGACUGAGGUGUGCGGCUGCAGUACUCACAGCCCGAGCCCGGCCCCCAUGGGCAAGGACUACACGUAGGCCUUGACCGCAAGGGCAGGAGUUAUGGGUUGUGCAUGCAGUUCAAGGAUGCUGACGAAAUGGUCUUAAACGACCCGUCUUGAAACACGGACCAAGGAGUCUAACACAUGUGCGAGUAUUUGGGUGGCAAACCCGGGUGCGGAAUGAAAGUGAUCUGGGUGAGAGCCUUGCCUCCGUGCUUGGUGCAUCAUCGGCCGAACCUUGAUGUCUUCUGAUAGGUUUGAGUAAGAGCAUAUUUGUUGGGACCCGAAAGGUAGUGAACUAUGCCUGGAUAGGAUGAAGCCAGAGGAAACUCUGGUGGAGGUCCGUAGCCGUUCUGACGUGCAAAUCGAUGGUCAAAUCUGGGUAUAGGGGCGAAAGACUAAUCGAACUACCUAGUAGCUGGUUCCCUC